UUACUCCUACGGGAGGCAGCAGUGGGGAAUAUUGCGGCUGCAUGGGCGCAAGCCUGAUGCAGCCAUGCCGCGUGUAUGAAGAAGGCCUUCGGGUUGUAAAGUACUUUCAGCGGGGAGGAAGGUGUUGAGGUUAAUAACCUCAGCAAUUGACGUUACCCGCAGAAGAAGCCCAUCCCACGGCUAACUCCGUGCCAG
This 195-nucleotide ribosomal RNA is filed under the name uncultured Enterobacter sp. RNAcentral's name for it is "partial 16S ribosomal RNA". It matches the Rfam family "Bacterial small subunit ribosomal RNA", at positions 333 to 511 of the family's 1533-position model. The record is from RNAcentral. Lineage: Bacteria; Pseudomonadati; Pseudomonadota; Gammaproteobacteria; Enterobacterales; Enterobacteriaceae.